This 497-nucleotide ribosomal RNA is filed under the name uncultured bacterium. RNAcentral describes it as "partial 16S ribosomal RNA". It matches the Rfam family "Bacterial small subunit ribosomal RNA", at positions 28 to 507 of the family's 1533-position model. The record is from RNAcentral.
GAUGAACGCUGGCGGCGUGCCUAAUACAUGCAAGUAGAACGCUGAAGGAAUGAGCUUGCUCUUUCCGGAUGAGUUGCGAACGGGUGAGUAACGCGUAGGUAACCUGCCUGGUAGCGGGGGAUAACUAUUGGAAACGAUAGCUAAUACCGCAUAACAGUAGAUGUUGCAUGAUAUCUACUUAAAAGGUGCAAUUGCACCACUACCAUAUGUACCUGCGUUGUAUUAGCUAGUUGUUGAGGUAACGGCUCACCAAGGCGACGAUACAUAGCCGACCUGAGAGGGUGAGCGGCCACACUGGGACUGAGACACGGCCCAGACUCCUACGGGAGGCAGCAGUAGGGAAUCUUCGGCAAUGGCCGGAAGUCCGACCGGGCAACGCCGAGGGAGUGAAGAAGGUUUUCGGAUUGUAAAGGUCUGUUGUAAGAGAAGAACGAGUGUGAGAGUGGAAAGUUCACACUGUGACGGUAUCUGACCAGAAAGCGACGGCUAACUACGUG